This 120-nucleotide ribosomal RNA is filed under the name Melopsittacus undulatus (budgerigar). The record is from RNAcentral. Lineage: Eukaryota; Metazoa; Chordata; Aves; Psittaciformes; Psittaculidae.
GCCUAGGGUGUAACCACCCUGAGAACACCCCAUCUAGCCUGAUUCGUGGAAGCCAAGCAGUGUCAGGCUCAGUUAGUACUUGGAUAGGAGACUGCCUGUGAAUCCUGGGUACUGCAGGCU